GGAAAUAUUUUGGAGAAAUGGUGGGGCUGUGUGUCCAUCUUUUCUGUCCAAAAUUCAGAGAUUAUUAAAAAUUUAACCUACCAAGUCAGAGGUAUAUUCUUCCAAAUUUUUUCAGGACAAAUACUAAUCUCUAUUCUUUUAUUGCUUAAUUCUUUUUUUGUUUGUUUGUUUUUUUGUUUUACCAGACAUAAAAAGUCAUUUAUUUAUUUUGUUUUUUUGUUUGUUUUUUGUUUUGUUUUGUUUUGUUUUGAGACAGGGUUUCUCUGUGUAUUCUGGCUUUCCUGGAACUCACUCUGUAGACCAGGCUGGCCUCGAACUCAGAAAUACGCCUGCCUCUGCCUCCCAGGUGCUGGGAUUAAAGGCGUGCACCACCACUGCCUGUGGUGGUGGUGUGAAGGCCUGGCUUACCUACCAUGGUUCUUGCUUCUGGAGGAACAGCGUGCUCAGUGCAGUGUGCAGUCUCAGGUGAGGAGAGACCUGAAGAUCAUAGCGCUCACAGUGUCAUGUAGACAGAGGAAAGGAGCAUGGGACAGAACGCUGGAGGGGUGAGGAAAAGGAAGAGUUGUGUGGAUCACAGAGGCAAACAGCUGAACCACAGGAAGAGGAGUAAAUGCAUAAUUGAAAGGCUCAACAUUCUAGCCCCACUGUUCUUUGUGAUGUCUACUUGAUUCUUUGGCUCUGCAGAUCUAUUGAUUAUUUUCAGCUCAUAUGUAGAAACAGUGAUUCUUUCUUUCCUGGAAGUACUGGGAAAAGAUGAAUUACUUCUUCCAUGAGUCUUGGUUAUCAGAUGGAAUAGAAAUGCCCACUCUACAGAAGAAUAAUGCCCAGCAUACUUAUUCAUAAGAGAAAUGCAAUUAGAAUGCUACUUCAGAGCCACUAAAAAGACUGAAAGUACAAAGUACAAAAGACUGAAAGACUUAAAAUUGGUUGAGAUGCACAACAAUGCACAACAAUGGCAGCUUGAACCUACUGUAUAGUGCUGGUGAGAAUACAGUAUUGCUUGAACAAACAAACAAACAAACAAACAACCCAGUGAGCUUUGGUCAACAGCUUCUUAUAAACUAGACUCCAAAACUAGAUAUUUGUGAAAGGAAAGUGGUUACAAAUGUACACAUGGAGAUUUCUUCCAGCACAUUCACAGACUCAUUUUUCUUUUUCGUAACGAUUGCACAGUGUGAACAGUGGGUGCUCGUGGAUGAGCCUCUAGGAAGCUGGUUACUCACUUCAUGGGUUAUUACUCAGCAGUGGAGAGAAUGACUACUAACAUAUGCAGAGCAUUGACUCAUCUAAGAGAUGUGCUGAAUGAGAAAAGCUGGGCAUAAAAGAAUCCCCAGAAGUUCAUGUAUAUGAAGUUCUGAACAUGUAAAGUUAAUCUUUGGUGAUAAAAAUCAUAUUGGUGCUUACAAAAUCAUGGGGCUGAUAGAAAAAAAGACUGAAGACAUUUUCCAAAGUGAUGAAAGGUGUCAUCUAUUGAUUACAGCUUUUGCUGCUAGAGAAUCCACUUGUUCAUUAAAUUCAUAUUUAUGAUCUAUUCAUUUUAUAGUGGGUAAAUUGAAUUUUGAUAAACAAUAAAACAUUAUAAACCAUGCUGCUAAAUUGUUCA
Molecule: long non-coding RNA, 1603 nt
Organism: Mus spicilegus (steppe mouse)
Lineage: Eukaryota; Metazoa; Chordata; Mammalia; Rodentia; Muridae
Source: Ensembl